GGGCUUAUAGUAUAUCAUUGGAAAAGUCUUUUCAAAUCCCAUCUAACAACACAACUAUUGGACCCUGAUUAUGGACUAUAAUAAACUUUAGUGGACAUUUUUCAUAAAUAAGAUACAAAAUGAAUGAUUUUCGAAAACAGAAAGAAGUAUUUUUAUUAAAAAUAGAGGCAUCACGAGUAGGGGUGUUCAAAAAUACUCGACCCGUUUGACCCGACCUACUGACCCGCAAAAUACCCAACGGGUAUUUUUUGAGUUUUUUCCCCAUUUUGCGGGUCGGGUACCCAACCCGCUAAAAUAUCAGAUUCGCAGGUCGGGUAAUGGGCCGACCUCUGACUAUUUCGGGUACCCGUUAAAUACCCGCUUUUCUUUCUUUCUUUCUUUUUUUUUUUUUUUUUUUUUUUUAAUUUUAUUAGCUGGAAAGUGGAAACCCUUUAGGGAAUUAGGGUUACUACUCUUUCCUCUUUUUCACUAGUAGCUAGCCGCAUACUCACUCUCCCCUAUUCUCUCUCCUCUUUCACUGAAACACUUCCUCUCCUUCCUCCCUCUCAAGCGACCUCCUUCCUCCCUCUCAAUUUCUCAAAGUCUCAAGCGACCUCCUUCCUCCCUCCCGUCAGAUAGACCCUCUCACUCUCUCAGGCGACCUUCAUCAGCCGCGCAAGGUUAUAUUUGGUGGAAGCAGGUUUUUAAUAUGAUUUUGCUAAUUUGUUGCUGGAAGCAGGUUCACUAUGAAUUUGUGAAAACAUCAGCUUUUUUUUUUUUUUUUUUU
This is a long non-coding RNA of Chenopodium quinoa (quinoa), 766 nucleotides long. RefSeq lists it as uncharacterized. NCBI's taxonomy places the organism in Eukaryota, Viridiplantae, Streptophyta, Magnoliopsida, Caryophyllales, Amaranthaceae. The transcript has 2 exons. The record is from RefSeq and is a predicted model, not a curated record.